AGUGAACGCUGGCGGUAGGCCUAACACACGCAAGUCGAACGGCAGCACAGAGGAGCUUGCUCCUUGGGUGGCGAGUGGCGGACGGGUGAGGAAUACAUCGGAAUCUACUCUGUCGUGGGGGAUAACGUAGGGAAACUUACGCUAAUACCGCAUACGACCUAAGGGUGAAAGCAGGGGAUCUUCGGACCUUGCGCGAUUGAAUGAGCCGAUGUCGGAUUAGCUAGUUGGCGGGGUAAAGGCCCACCAAGGCGACGAUCCGUAGCUGGUCUGAGAGGGUGAUCAGCCACACUGGAACUGAGACACGGUCCAGACUCCUACGGGAGGCAGCAGUGGGGAAUAUUGGACAAUGGGCGCAAGCCUGAUCCAGCCAUACCGCGUGGGUGAAGAAGGCCUUCGGGUUGUAAAGCCCUUUUGUUGGGAAAGAAAUCCAUCUGGUUAAUACCCGGGUGGGAUGACGGUACCCAAAGAAUAAGCACCGGCUAACUUCGUGCCAGCAGCCGCCGUAA
RNAcentral lists this ribosomal RNA (506 nucleotides) under uncultured bacterium. RNAcentral describes it as "partial 16S ribosomal RNA". It matches the Rfam family "Bacterial small subunit ribosomal RNA", at positions 29 to 523 of the family's 1533-position model. The record is from RNAcentral.